CAUUUAUUUGUAAACAAUAGGAAAAUAUAGAUGCCUUGCAGGAACAUGGCGAGUUCAUGAACGGUGGAGUAUUCUGGCGACGACAGAGUAAAGCUGUUGGGUCGAGAACAGCUGGCGACCUUUGGCAGAUUUUGUUGCUGCAAGGUUUUGCGAAACGAUCCGUUUUGCAUUUUUGUUGGUGUUGCUGCGCGACCGGGUUUGCUUGCAGGUAAGUGUUUGUUGAUUAAUUUUAUUUUUUGUUUGUUUUCAGGUACUGGUGAUUUGGCUUUGGCCAGUUUUGUUGGCCGCAUGUUGGUAUUUGUUGUUUCUCCGUUUUCGGGUACGUCUAGUGUAUAAAUAGGGGUUGCUGCUGUAGGCGAGUAAUUUACAGGUGCAGGCGCAUUAGUUGAACCCAAUGGGGCGGCUGCCAGACGAGAUUUAGCACCAGAAAGUGUAGGAGGGGCUGCAAAAGGUGCUGCUAAAGACUGCAGCUGGCUUUCAGAUAAGUUUAUGGUUUUUUUAGAGCGAUUUUUUGUUGACAUUUUUUGGCUUUUAGGUGUAGCCGCUGCUUGAGGACCAGGACCUGCUGCUGCUGAUUUAAUUUUUCUAACGAUUUGUGUUUUUUUCCAGGUGCAGGCAGGUGCAGAUGAUUGCCAAGAUGCUGCACGAGGACUCGCAGGCGGUGCUGCUGCUGGCUGACAUGGAUUAACAGAUGGACGAGCUGCAGACGGACUAGCUUGACGAGAUGCUGGACGACGUAGAUGAGACGAUGCAUACGACGCUUUACGAUUUGUUUUAUUUUCAGGUACUGGUGCAUUAGACGAGCGGAAAUCUGGACAGGUCGACUGGCGAGGUGGUGCAGACGGUUGCUGGUGGACUUCAGGUAAGUUUUUGUUAGCGUUAGAUUGCAUAUUCAUUGUCUCAUGCCCAAA
This is a long non-coding RNA of Drosophila willistoni, 911 nucleotides long. RefSeq lists it as uncharacterized. Lineage: Eukaryota; Metazoa; Arthropoda; Insecta; Diptera; Drosophilidae. The record is from RefSeq and is a predicted model, not a curated record. The transcript is spliced from 5 exons.